RNAcentral lists this long non-coding RNA (326 nucleotides) under Stegodyphus dumicola. RNAcentral's name for it is "uncharacterized LOC118195626, transcript variant X1". The record is from RNAcentral. Lineage: Eukaryota; Metazoa; Arthropoda; Arachnida; Araneae; Eresidae.
ACAAUAAAAUUAUAGGGUGGAAUCAUUGAAAAUAGCUGUCUGUUGUUUUAGUUUGAGUGUUGUCAUGUGAGUGCGAAGAGAGAAAUGUAAAGAGAUUAAUUUGUUACUGAAGAUGAUAAAGUUGUUAUAUUCGCUGGUAUUUAUGCUUUGCUUGUCUGUUUCAAAUGCUGAGUUUGACUGCCGCAUUAGCUUGCCUUGCAACAAUACUAGUUUAAAUGACAGCAAAGUCGAAGAUUAUUGUGAAUCGAUCGUUCAUAAAAAUAUGACUGGGAGAUGUUGUAUUUCUAAUGAAACUGUUAUAGGGCUUGAUCUUAGGGACUGUGAAA